Molecule: ribosomal RNA, 465 nt
Filed under: uncultured Klebsiella sp.
Lineage: Bacteria; Pseudomonadati; Pseudomonadota; Gammaproteobacteria; Enterobacterales; Enterobacteriaceae
Description: bacterial SSU rRNA
Rfam family: Bacterial small subunit ribosomal RNA
Source: RNAcentral
CCUACGGGCGGCAGCAGUGGGGAAUAUUGCACAAUGGGCGCAAGCCUGAUGCAGCCAUGCCGCGUGUGUGAAGAAGGCCUUCGGGUUGUAAAGCACUUUCAGCGGGGAGGAAGGCGUUAAGGUUAAUAACCUUGGCGAUUGACGUUACCCGCAGAAGAAGCACCGGCUAACUCCGUGCCAGCAGCCGCGGUAAUACGGAGGGUGCAAGCGUUAAUCGGAAUUACUGGGCGUAAAGCGCACGCAGGCGGUCUGUCAAGUCGGAUGUGAAAUCCCCGGGCUCAACCUGGGAACUGCAUUCGAAACUGGCAGGCUAGAGUCUUGUAGAGGGGGGUAGAAUUCCAGGUGUAGCGGUGAAAAGCGUAGAGAUCUGGAGGAAUACCGGUGGCGAAGGCGGCCCCCUGGACAAAGACUGACGCUCAGGUGCGAAAGCGUGGGGAGCAAACAGGAUGAGAUACCCGUGUAGUC